RNAcentral lists this unclassified non-coding RNA (3378 nucleotides) under Hevea brasiliensis (rubber tree). The record is from RNAcentral. Lineage: Eukaryota; Viridiplantae; Streptophyta; Magnoliopsida; Malpighiales; Euphorbiaceae.
CGGGAUUAAGGAACUGUGUUUUUCUCGCUUGUUGCUGUUAUUAAACAAAAUUGAUUUUUCAACGAAUUUGAUUUACUAUACAAUAAUAUAAUUACAACAUUGCUACCAAAUUGUCAUACUGUUACAGGGAUCUAUACCUUGUGAUAGUAACAACGGCGGGACAAUACCCAGUAAAUACAGUUUUAUUUACACUUCUAAGCUUGUGACAUCCUUACCAGGCUUAUAAAUAUUUGAAAAUUGCAUUUGGAAUGACCAGGUACUCCAUGAGUAGCAGCCAAGCAGUUAAUCAAAUUGCUGUGGCAAGGCAAGAUGUUCAACUUCGUACUCAGUAGAAGGGAGUCCAGAGAUUUUGCAAACAAGAAACUAGCAAAGGCUUGUCAAAAUGGCUACAAGGAAUGGUCCCCAACUGAAGCUGAUGACGACCGAUUUAAGUGUAGGGCCUUCUUGGACGCCCGAACAUUCUUAAGAGUCAUCAUGAGUUUCUGUCUCUCCCCUUCAACCUCCGCAAAUUGAAGGCUUAGCUGAGAGUAGCGGUCAUGCAUCUCUUUUAGUUCACUCUCCACAGCCGUAUACCUUCCCUUCAGUUCCAGCAUGUCUUUAAUCAGCUCAUUUAUAUCUCUAAAGCUUUUGAAUACUGCUUCCUCAUCACUGUGUUGUUUCAAGAAAGAACUCUGAAAAUGGAUGCUUGAUUGCUUCUUUGCCUGCAGAGCUUCUGCAAGCUCAAUUUCUAAAGCAAGAACCCUUUCUAAUGCAUUGCCUCUCCCUGGAAAUUCAUUAAACAAGGGGAACAUGCUUCCUAGUUCUUCAUUGGCCUUUUCUAACUGCAUAAAUUCUCUUUGUAAAGUAGGAAAUUUCUGGUGAAAACCAUGAUUAUCUUGCAGAAGUGAAUUCUCGUUUUUCAUCCUCUUCAACUCAUUACUCAAGUGGUCCAUGCUAGACUUUAAACUUUUGGCUCUGAAAUGUUCAUUGAUAAGAGCUAAAUGCUUCAUGUCACUGUGCAGCAACUUCUCUUGAUUUAGGAGUAUGGGGCUUUGAAUUCCAUUCACACCACUAGAUACAAGAACGUCCUGAUCAAGUUGCAUAUUCACGAGUGUGUUUGUUUGGCCAACUGUGUUAAUGGGAGCUGGGCAUGUAUUUUCAGCUUCACCACAAUUCUUGGAACUAUCUUGUUCCAAGCACUUGAGAGCUGAGUCUCUAGUUGGACCGCUUGUAGGAGCUGCAUCUACACUCUUUCUUCCAAAGCUUGAAGCAUCAGCAAUGGGAUCUUCCUGGUAAACAUUUCUGAAAACUGACUCAUCAGAAGACAUGCAAUCCCCCUUGCAGGAUCCAUCAUUUCCUCCCUCCUGAAUAUUCACAGCCAAUUUUGAAUUCUCUAGCAAUUCUUUCAUCUGAGCAAGUUCAACCGCAAGUUUAGACUUUUCCUUGUUGCAUUCUUGCAAACACACCUCAAGCUUUUGCUUUUCUUCUUUGCAGCACUCUAGGCUUAUUAAUGAACAUUCCAUCUCAGCUUUCAUCAGAUCAUAAGCGUUCAUUCUUUCACACUUGUCAGAAAACACUGAUUGUAAUUCAGACUCCAAUUUCAAGAUCUCCAUUCCCAGUUCUUCAUUUUUCUUCAGAUGACAAGCUUCAGAUUUCUUCCUGUUUUCAAUUUCAUCAAUGGCAUCUUGCAAUUUCCACAACAUUUCUUCACUAUGCUUUUUUGAGAUGGAAAGUUGUAGUUUCAGUUCCUGCAGCCUGGUUUCAUACUGCUCUUUGAUAAAUGCUAUUCUUAAGGACUCUUGCAUGGCAACUGGUGGUACUUCAGGUUCUCUUUUUUCACGAGCCUGGAUACACUCAGCGUCAGCCUUGUCCUUAAGCUCCUUCAAAUGGACAGACAAGUUUCUGAACUCUUCUGUCUUCAAAAUCUGUUCCGCAAGCCUCUGGGCGAGCUCAUUACACUGUUUCUUUAGCAUCAUUAGUUCAUCACCAUAUCCUUCCAUUGCAAUUAUAUGAGCUUGCUGUUCAUCCAGCUUGGCUUUGAGUACUAGAACUUGGACUUCCAUUUCUUCCUUGGAGAACAUCAGAUUGUCAGUCUCCUCUUCAAAACUCAACAUCGUGUGCUUGAGCCUUUCAACAUCUUGGCAUUGCUGACUUUUACCCUCAAAAUCUCUAAGGACAACAUUAUGAGCCCAAUGCUUGUAUUCCUCAAGCUCAGCUGUCGUAACUCUGUUUGCCUCAAGAAGUAAACUAUUUUCAGCAAUAGAUGCCUCAAUCUCAGAUCUAAUGGAGUUGAGACUUGUCAACAAAUUUGCAUUCUCUUCAAUGUAUUGGGCUUCGUUGGCAAGACAGUGAGUUAGGGUUGUUUCUAGAUCAAUAUGCUUCUUCAGAAGUUCUGUAACCUGCCUAUCUGAGGAGCAAAGUUGCAAAACCAGCUCUUCAACCCUGUCUUCAUACUGAGUUCUUGUGAAAAUUAGUUUGACAUCUGCAGCUAUUAAUAGUUCAUGAACUUCACAUAUCUCAGUUUCAAGACCAGAAAGAGAACAACAUUCUUCACGAAUGCUUUUAAGGCUGUCAUCAUAGUGAGACAAAAGAUUGCAAACUCUCAAUUUCUCCAAUUCUAGAUCUGACACCAAUUUCUUGAGAUGGAGCAACUGAAAUUCCUUCUCAUUUAAUUGGGAAGUUUGAUUCGUGAUUUUAAUCUCUAAACUCUCUCUCACCCUUCUUUCUUCUUGCAACUGAUCAUACAGAGAUCGCAAACUCUCUCCCAGUCUGUUUAGCUCAGAUGCAAGCUGAACACACUCAUUAGUUUUAUCCUGCGAAGACACAACCAGAGCUUGGUUUUCAUUGUGCACAGAUUGAAGACAUUCUUUCAAACUGUUUAACUCCAAUUUAAGCUUGGAAGAUUCCUCAGAUUUUUCCCUUGAGCACACCAUCAAAACUUGGUUUUCAUCAUGCAGAGUCUGCAAAUUCUCUUUCAAACUGUUCAGCUCUGAUGUAAGCUUGGCAGUUUCCUUGGUUUUUUCUUGUGAGGAAGCCAUCAAAGAUUGUUUUUCAUCAUCCAGAGAUUGCAAAGUUUCUUUCAAGUGGUUUAGCUCCAAUGCAAGAUUAGCAGAUUCCUUAAUUUUAUUUUGUAAAGAUGCAAUCAAAGUUUGUUUCUCAUCAUGCAGCGACUGCAAACUUUCUUUCAAACUACUAAGCUCCGAUACAAGUUUGGAAGAUUCAUCGGUUUUAUCCUGUGUAGAUGCCACCAAAGCUUGAUUUUCAUCAUGUAGCGACUGCAAGCUUUCUUUCAAACUGUUAAGCUCUGAUGCAAGCUUGGAAGUUUCCUCAGUUUUAUCCUGUAAAGUAGCCAUCAGAGCUUGUUUUUCAUCAUCCAGAGAUUUCAAAGCUUCUUUAAAA